AUGCUCAAAAUUGAUCUUGCUAAAGCUUUUGACCGUCUUGAGUGGAACUUCAUUGUUUCUGCUUUGGCUCGUAAAGGACUGCAUGGUCAUUUCAUAAAUUUGGUUCAUGCCUGCAUCUCCUCACCUACUUUCUCUGUGCUUAUUAAUGGUCAACCCUCUCAAAAAUUUAAAAACUACAGAGGUAUUAGACAGGGCUGCCCCAUGUCUCCUUAUUUAUUUGUUCUAGCUAUCAAUGAGUUAUCCAUUAUGCUGAAUGAGGCUUUGCAGGCCAAUCAUUUGUUUGGUAUUUCUCUUGGACCAAAUUGCCCUUCUGUGCAUUCCUUACUGUUUGCAGACGAUCUUCUUGUCUGUGGGCAGGCUACUUGUCAGGAGGCUCAGGUUAUGGCCAACUUGAUUAAUCACUUCUGUAACAUCUCUGGCCAAACUCCUAACUGGAGUAAAUCAGCUAUUUUUUUCAGUUUUCAUGUUCCUCAGCAGGUAAGAGAUGACAUUAAAAGCAUUUUUCCAGUAGCUAAUCUGGAUGACAACUUCACUCAUUUAGGUCAUCCUCUCAUUCUUCCUGCUAACAAUAGAGCAGCUGCUUACAACUUUGUCUUAGAUAAAUUUCUUAACAAGCUGCCUUCCUAUAAAGCUAAUAUGCUUUCUCAUGCUGCUAGAUUGGAAUUAAUCCGUUCUGUUUUCUCGGCCAUUCCAGUUUAUUACAUGUCCAAUAUUUUAUUCUCAAAAAAGUUCAUUGCUAAACUUACUGCAGUAAUCAGAAACUUCUGGUGGACAGGUAUUAGAGAAACAAAUUCCAGGAAAAGUCUUUGCCUUCGUGCUUGGAAGGACAUUUCAAAUUAA
This 840-nucleotide ribosomal RNA is filed under the name Triticum aestivum (bread wheat). RNAcentral's name for it is "partial small subunit ribosomal RNA". Lineage: Eukaryota; Viridiplantae; Streptophyta; Magnoliopsida; Poales; Poaceae. The record is from RNAcentral.